This 341-nucleotide long non-coding RNA is filed under the name Monodelphis domestica (gray short-tailed opossum). RNAcentral's name for it is "lncRNA (ENSMODG00000033814.2)". The record is from RNAcentral. Lineage: Eukaryota; Metazoa; Chordata; Mammalia; Didelphimorphia; Didelphidae.
GCUUGUCUACCUGAAAGGUUGGGCAAAGGUCAGCAAGUUUGUUUGGACCCAAGAAAGUCCUGGGGUCCCAGGAGAGUUCAGAUAAUCUGGGCUUGAGGUAAAAACAGAGUUUUGCUUUUGAGAAAUGCCUGGAACCUUCCUUAUGAUGUGGAUGAAAGGAGCCUCGGGGAUCUGGGCAAAUGAACUCUGAAGAUGAAGUCACUGAAGCUAAUAGAAAAGAGGUGAAUUGCCCAAGGGCACGUAAUAAUGCACAGAGAGGAGAUUCAAACUCAGUUUCCCUGACUGCAAAUCCAGGACAACCGUGCAUGAUUCUGAAGACUAACUGGAUGGCUACAGACUAA